GCCACAUCUAAGACACUAAUAUUAAAUAGCAUAGUAGACUCUAACUAGUGAAUUGAGAGAGAUUGCCUCAGCCUCCGGAGUAGCUGGGACUACAGGCGUCCUCCACCAUGCCCGGCUAAUUUUUUUGUAUUUUUAGUAGAGACGGGGCUUCACCGUGUUAGCCGGGAUGAUCUCGAUUUCCUGACCUCAUGAUCUGCCCACCUCAGAGUCCCAAAGUGCUGGGAUUACAGGCGUGAGCCACGGCGCCCCGCCUCUAUACCAUACUUUUAAACAUUUAUUUUAGUGUACUCCUCUUUAUUUAAAAAAUGUUACCUGUAAAACAGCCUUAGGCUGGUCCUUUAGGAGAUAUUCCAGAAGAAGGCAUUGUUAUCAUAGGAGAUGACAGCUCCAUGUGUUAUUACCCCAGAGACCUAGUGGGACAAGAUGUGGAGUUGAAAGACAGUGAU
Molecule: long non-coding RNA, 446 nt
Filed under: Pan troglodytes (chimpanzee)
Lineage: Eukaryota; Metazoa; Chordata; Mammalia; Primates; Hominidae
Description: long non-coding RNA NONPTRT000691
Source: RNAcentral